AAGGCUUAGCAUCAACUUCCGUAUCUCCCCGGUGAGCAACAAUUAUUAAAUCUCGCAUUUCAAAAAAAUCAUAAGUCAUUUUCAAAUAAGAACAAUAAAAUAUUAUUCUCUGGCUCACAGGGGUAUUUUCGUAAUUUUUCAUCAAAAAUCUCAAAACUUGCUAAAAAUGUAGUAGGUAAGCAGAAAAUAUAUAUUUAAUGAUUUAAAAACAAUUAAGUAUCUAAAACGUUCAUUUGAAAGCAAAUUGUUGACAACUAGUACUAUUCAAAAAUAAUAAAUAAAAUAUCCUAUUUUCUCAUAAAAUAAAUUUUUAUAGAAAUAUUCGUAAAUAAUUUUUCGCACAUGAAAGUAAAGUAAAAAUUGUAUGAAUAGAAAUACAGAUAACCAAAAUAUAAGUUUUGAUCUGCAAUGACACGUGGGCUCCAAUUGACCA
This 433-nucleotide long non-coding RNA is filed under the name Theobroma cacao (cacao). RNAcentral describes it as "long non-coding RNA (TCAC_LNC002629)". Lineage: Eukaryota; Viridiplantae; Streptophyta; Magnoliopsida; Malvales; Malvaceae. The record is from RNAcentral.